CCUACGGGUGGCUGCAGUGAGGACUAUUGGUCACUGGGCUCGAGCCUGAACCAGCCAAGUAGCGUGAAGGAUGACUGCCCUACGGGUUGUAAACUUCUUUUAUAAAUGAAUCCAGUGAGGCACGUGUGCCUUUUUGUAUGUACUUUAUUAAUAAGGAUCGGCUAACUCCGUUCCAGCAGCCGCGGUCAUACGGAGGAUCCGAUCGUUAUUCUGAUUUAUUGGGUUUAAAGGGAGCGUAGAUGGGUUGUUAAGUCAGUUGUGAAAGUUUGCGGCUCAACCGUAAAAUUGCAAUUGAUACUGGCAGUCUUGAGUACAGUUGAGGUAGGCGGAAUUCGUGGUGUAGCGGUGAAAUGCUUAGAUAUCACGAAGAACUCCGAUUGCGAAGGCAGCUUACUAAACUGCCACUGACAUUGAUGCUCGAAAGUGUGGGUAUCAAACAGGAUUAGAUACCCUAGUAGUC
This 460-nucleotide ribosomal RNA is filed under the name uncultured bacterium. RNAcentral's name for it is "partial 16S ribosomal RNA". It matches the Rfam family "Bacterial small subunit ribosomal RNA", at positions 338 to 795 of the family's 1533-position model. The record is from RNAcentral.